This 253-nucleotide ribosomal RNA is filed under the name uncultured bacterium. RNAcentral describes it as "partial 16S ribosomal RNA". It matches the Rfam family "Bacterial small subunit ribosomal RNA", at positions 524 to 776 of the family's 1533-position model. The record is from RNAcentral.
UACGAAGGGGGCUAGCGUUGCUCGGAAUUACUGGGCGUAAAGGGCGCGUAGGCGGCACUGUUAGUCAGGCGUGAAAUUCCUGGGCUCAACCUGGGGACUGCGCUUGAUACGGCAGAGCUUGAGGAUGGAAGAGGGUCGCGGAAUUCCCAGUGUAGAGGUGAAAUUCGUAGAUAUCAAGCGGAACACCGGUGGCGAAGGCGGCCUUCUGGACAGUGACUGACGCUGAGACGCGAAAGCGUGGGGAGCAAACAGG